Molecule: long non-coding RNA, 545 nt
Filed under: Vulpes vulpes (red fox)
Lineage: Eukaryota; Metazoa; Chordata; Mammalia; Carnivora; Canidae
Description: lncRNA (ENSVVUG00000012567.1)
Source: RNAcentral
AUUUGCCUUCUUGUUAGAAAAUGCUAUAGGAAGAGAAGCAGCCCACGGGAACUGGGCUCUGAUGUGGUUGGCCAUGAAGUACUCAAACCAAUCAAUAAUAUAAAAUUAUAUAAGAGUGUAAAUGAAGGCUCUGGACUGAAUAAUUUUAAUUCCAUCUCUGCUAAUAUUGAAGGAAUGAUAAGGAUAAAGAAUGGCUAAGACUCCAUUACCAGGCCAUUAAGGCAUCUCAUCAACCACCAUGUCCUUGAAAAGUUAAUUUUGUUUUAUCUCCGGAUCCAAGAGGCUUCACACGACAAUGGCAGUUGAAAGCUUCCCAGUUCCUAGAACAUGGAUACAUGCAUCCAAGAUAAGUAUAUCCUAUUGUGGCCGAAUUAAUAGUGAAGCUGCAGUUAAAAAACUUCGUCAAGAAUGAGCAAUCGGUGCAUUUGGCAGAGAGACUAAAGUACACACCAUCUUCCACCCCGAUGCCCUCGCCUCCGCUGCUCCUGAGGGGAGUUCACCUUUGAGGAAAUGGACAAAAGAAUCGACGAGGAGCUGGAUGGGCC